This 348-nucleotide unclassified non-coding RNA is filed under the name uncultured fungus. RNAcentral's name for it is "partial contains 5.8S ribosomal RNA, internal transcribed spacer 2, and large subunit ribosomal RNA". The record is from RNAcentral. Lineage: Eukaryota; Fungi.
AAGGAUCAUUACAACGUAUCCACGUACCAAACUCUCGAACCGUUCCCAACGGAGCAAACACUUGUGGAUGAAGUUAAUGGCUGUCUGUCUUUCGCUGAUGGAGUCCACUGACUUUUGUCGGACGGACUGAAAGGCAUUCGGUCGCCGGAGCUCGUCUCUGGGAUUUCGUUUACUUCGUUGCGGUUUUACCGUCAGCGUUUGUAAUACCAUUAUUGACCCUUUGAACUUAUGAACUGAACUUGAUGGCUUUGCAGCUGUCCUUGCUGGCUUCGGUCACGGACAUGACUGCCUAGCUUAUCACAUUUACGAAACAAAGAACAACUCUUAGCAACGGAUAUCUUGGUUCUC